GGAGAGAUGGCUCAGUGGUUAAGAGCACUGUCUGCUCUUCCAGAGGACCCGGGUUCAAUUCCCUGCAUCCACA
RNAcentral lists this transfer RNA (73 nucleotides) under Mus musculus (house mouse). RNAcentral describes it as "tRNA-Ser". Lineage: Eukaryota; Metazoa; Chordata; Mammalia; Rodentia; Muridae. The record is from RNAcentral.